GUGGGGAAUAUUGGACAAUGGGCGAAAGCCUGAUCCAGCCAUGCCGCGUGUGUGAAGACGGUCUUCGGAUUGUAAAGCACUUUAAGUUGGGAGGAAGGGCAGUAAGUUAAUACCUUGCUGUUUUGACGUUACCGACAGAAUAAGCACCGGCUAACUUCGUGCCAGCAGCCGCGGUAAUACGAAGGGUGCAAGCGUUAAUCGGAAUUACUGGGCGUAAAGCGCGCGUAGGUGGUUUUGUAAGUUGGAGGUGAAAUCCCCGGGCUCAACCUGGGAACUGCCUCCAAAACUGCAUGACUAGAGUACGGUAGAGGGUAGUGGAAUUUCCUGUGUAGCGGUGAAAUGCGUAGAUAUAGGAAGGAACACCAGUGGCGAAGGCGACUACCUGGACUGAUACUGACACUGAGGUGCGAAAGCGUGGGGAGCAAACAGGAUUAGAUACCCUAGUAGUCC
RNAcentral lists this ribosomal RNA (450 nucleotides) under uncultured bacterium. RNAcentral's name for it is "partial 16S ribosomal RNA". It matches the Rfam family "Bacterial small subunit ribosomal RNA", at positions 354 to 796 of the family's 1533-position model. The record is from RNAcentral.